RNAcentral lists this transfer RNA (69 nucleotides) under Pimelodus pictus (Pictus cat). RNAcentral's name for it is "tRNA-Glu". It matches the Rfam family "tRNA". Rfam says of the family: Transfer RNA (tRNA) molecules are approximately 80 nucleotides in length. Their secondary structure includes four short double-helical elements and three loops (D, anti-codon, and T loops). The record is from RNAcentral. Lineage: Eukaryota; Metazoa; Chordata; Actinopteri; Siluriformes; Pimelodidae.
GUUCUCGUAGUUGAAUUACAACGGUGGUUUUUCAAGUCAUUAGUCUUGGUUAGAGUCCGAGCGGGAAUU